UACGUAGGGUGCGAGCGUUAAUCGGAAUUACUGGGCGUAAAGCGUGCGCAGGCGGUUUUGUAAGCCAGAUGUGAAAUCCCCGGGCUUAACCUGGGAAUGGCAUUUGGGACUGCAAGGCUGGAGUGCGGCAGAGGAGGGCGGAAUCCCCGGUGUAGUGGUGAAAUGCGUAGAUAUCGGGGGGAACACCAGUGGCGAAGGCGGCCCUCUGGGGUGUACCUGACGCUGAGGCGCGAAAGCGUGGGGAGCGAACCGG
Molecule: ribosomal RNA, 253 nt
Filed under: uncultured bacterium
Lineage: Bacteria
Description: partial 16S ribosomal RNA
Rfam family: Bacterial small subunit ribosomal RNA
Source: RNAcentral